Molecule: long non-coding RNA, 839 nt
Organism: Solea solea (common sole)
Lineage: Eukaryota; Metazoa; Chordata; Actinopteri; Pleuronectiformes; Soleidae
Exons: 2
Source: RefSeq, a predicted model, not a curated record
UCUCCUGUCCUCAUCAUGAUGUCAUCACGGCUAAAUGAGCCACACUGGUGUGUGUGUGUCUGGAGACACAAGGACGGGGUUAGAGGAGCAACUGCGCCCGAUGUCAUAAAAUUGCGUAAUUUCAAUCUUAAAAACACCUAAAACAAGCGCGAUUUCUCCCGGGGGAAAGUCACAUGGAGCGAGGCGUAAUGUGCCGUCUGGCUCCCGGUGAAGCAGCCAGACCUCACGUCCUCUGGCUGCGAUCUCCAGAAUACUAACAACCAAACGGGGAGAGAGGGAGAAACAGAGGCGGAGAUGGGGGGGUUGCGCCAACCUUAACAUCUCCACAACAGGCGGCGACCACCGCCGCGUGUUAAAAAGCAAACUUCAACACCUUGCAGCGAAAUCAGCAAAUCAUCACGGGCGCUGACGUCAACGCAGCCAGUCAGUCAGCCAGACGAGCAGCAGGCAGACGGGCAGCCGGGUGCUGCGCUCCAGCUUCACACAAACACUGAGAAAGUGAGACACCUAGGGGGCUGUCUCGUGUCAAACGGCUGUGUUACAGUAGUGGAGAGACUGAGGCGGUGGAAGGUGAGCGACACUGCCCUCCUCUCCUCCAGCUGUUGCUGUUUGGACUCAACACGACCGGCGAUUCCUCCCCAAACUCCAGCCCCGAGCCAGGGGUGCGCUCAAGAGUUCGGCGGCCGUGUAGGAAGAGGGGGGGUUCCCCUUCACAUCCACCCCACUGACCGCAAUCGUUCUCAAUUUAUCAGCAAACCUGAACUAUUUUUGAGUGAACUGUGCAUUUGUCAUUUUUUUUCUCUGAUUUUGCAAUAUCAUCAUUAAAGGUUGAAUGUGAA